AGCAAAACAGCGACACGUCAGAGCCAAACUACUGUCUAUGGAAACUACAUCCGCGUCAGAAACAAACACCACCAUAUUAGCCAUAGAUAUAUACAUAUUAGCAGCUAACGUUAGCAUGUCAGCUAAUGUGUUGACAGCAUAGACUGUUCGUAUUAACAGGCGACUUCUGAAGCUAGCACGCCAUGGUAGCUAGCUAAUUUACUAGGCAGCGUCGAACGUCUCCUUCAGAAAUCCAACACAAAGUUGUGUAUGCAGGGAGGGAAACCGCUGCCCUCCACAGUCGGCAGCGUGUAUAUAUCUAUGAGUCGUCAGGAGCCGAGUGUGUCCUCCGUACCAGGCUGAUACAGAUGUCCGCUCCUCCUCCCGAAGAUUUGGUCAAACACUGGGAGAGCGAGCAGGCCCGUCUCAGACAGCAGGUGGUGGAGGAGGACACUGAGGAGUGGCAGACUAGUCCAGACUUCUCUGGCCUGGAGAGAGUCGGAGGAGUGGACCUGUCCUUCAUCAAAGGGGACGAUGUCAACGCCUGCGCCCAGCUCGUGGUACUCAGCUACCCGGACCUGGAGGUGCUGUAUGAGGACAGUCAGAUGGUGACCCUGACGGCCCCCUACAUAGCUGGCUUCCUGGCCUUCAGAGAAACCCCCUUCCUCCUGGAGGCUCUGCAGCGACUGAAGAGGAACCAGCCCCGACUUCUGCCUCAGGUGGUGUUUGUCGAUGGGAAUGGUCUCUUCCACUACAGAGAGUUCGGCCUGGCGUGUCAUCUCGGAGUGCUGUCCGGGCUGCCGUGUGUGGGCGUGGCCAAGAACCUGCUGCAGGUGCAGGGCGUAUACAAGAGUGAAGAACACCAGUCACAGAUAGCUGCUCUGCAGAAAGGAGGAGACAGCUUCCCGCUCGCAGCCGCCUCGGGCAAAGUGCUUGGAAAGGCAUUGCGAAGCUCCGACAAGAGCUCUAAGCCGGUGUACGUGUCCAUUGGCCAUAAGAUCAGUGUGGACACAGCUGUACACCUCACACACUCCUGCUGCCGCUACCGGGUCCCAGAGCCCAUCAGACAGGCCGACUUUCGCUCCAGAGAAUACCUUCGCACACACUUCCCAGCUGCUGACACAUGAAACAAGGAAUGAGCCUGGACCAAAUGGGUGGACUGGCAGACAUUGCCCUCCUUAGAGCCAUGCUUUAAAAUAAAGACAGAAGAUUUCAAACAAGGUUGCAGAUGCAGCGAAGGAUCUCAACAUUUUGAAAUUUGACAUUCUGAAGACCAGCAACUACAGAAGACCACUAAAAAGUGUGUGUGUGUGUGUGUGUGCGUGUGCGUGUGUGUGUGGUAACUUUGAUUGCUUUUUGAGUGCUUUUAAAAGUGCAGCUGUUUUAGUCUGGGCCAAGACACAAGUCGCAUUAACUGUAUCUUUUUAUGCACUCGCUCCAUAUUUAAACUGAAUAUGGGUCAGAUUGGCUCUUUUUAAACACUGUUCUAAUUACAUUUUUGGGUCACUCGGCUUUUUAAACUGGGAGCCUCGUCAAUAAAUUAUAAAAAAAUGUCCCUGAUCUGCUUCAGAGUGCUGAUCAUCUGCUAAUAUCUCUUGGUUGUGUGAAACUGUGCUCAAUGGUAAAUUCUACAGUGAGCUGUAUGGGAACAGCAAACGGUAUCACACACACACACACACACACACACACACACACACACACACACACACACACACACACACACACACACACACACAGUCCCAGUUUAUAUGGUGUAUAAUGUGUCUCUCUUUAAAUGAGUCAGACUUGGCAGAGGGCACCGCUGUGCCAGGCCGGUCCCAGCGAGGCGAGCGGAAAAGAAGGGCAGGGGGAAGGGGGCUGACUCUGCAGGGAUGGGGGCCAGAAAUAGAAGUGGUCAGAUAGGGCGGUAUUGAUCAGCAGGAGGGGUCAGAAGAUCAGCUGGUGGAGACCGCAGACUGGCCCCACGUCAGAGGGAUGUACAGCGUGUAGGUACAUACUUUAGAUACAAUACAGCAUGGACAGAUUGUGGCCUUUAAGGCAGCAGGAGAGGUUAUUACAUGCUGCUGAAAUCACAUACU
Molecule: RNA transcript, 2057 nt
Organism: Perca flavescens (yellow perch)
Lineage: Eukaryota; Metazoa; Chordata; Actinopteri; Perciformes; Percidae
Gene name: endonuclease V
Exons: 12
Source: RefSeq, a predicted model, not a curated record